GUUCUCCUGUGUACAUGUAGCUUAGUGGGAGGACUGUCAGUUAAUGCAAACCUAAAUAUAUGUUUUCAGGGCCACCUGCUGAGACAGCAAAAGCCAGUGUCUCUCUGUCAAACGAGAGCCUGAAUCCACAAGAACAGCAUCUACCCCAUCAACAUGAGAAACAUUUGGAGGAAGCAAAUUGUGGUGCUGAGCAAAACACUUCUGAUUCCUCAGAGCAUAAACUGCUGCGUUAAUCACUGGAAGCUCUACAUGUCUAUUCUAGAGAAGAAAGUAUCCUAUAAUUUACAUCAGCCAAUGAGGACUGUGAAGCACACUGGAAUUCUUUGAGAU
Long non-coding RNA from Rhea pennata, 330 nucleotides. RefSeq lists it as uncharacterized. Lineage: Eukaryota; Metazoa; Chordata; Aves; Rheiformes; Rheidae. The transcript has 3 exons. The record is from RefSeq and is a predicted model, not a curated record.